GCUCCUUACGUCGUAACUACAAUCCCCUUCCCUUUCAUGAAUAUGACCUACCGAAUUAGACUAUUUACCGGAUUUGUAAUCACUUAAGCAACACGACGGGUGCCACAUGUGGAGCAGGAUCUGCUUACCCUUCCGGAGCACCUGAGAUCACCCCUAGUUUUUGGUGGGGUUCGUGUUGUUUAUUCUUUGGUUUUCUAUGUUGUGUCGUGUGUACUAUUGUUUUUCUGUUUGUCUUUUUUAUUUUUAGCCAUGGCGUUGUCAGUUUGUUUUAGAUUUAUGAGUUUGACUGUCCCUUUGGUAUCUUUCGUCCCUCUUUGAUA
RNAcentral lists this long non-coding RNA (320 nucleotides) under Mytilus galloprovincialis (Mediterranean mussel). The record is from RNAcentral. Lineage: Eukaryota; Metazoa; Mollusca; Bivalvia; Mytilida; Mytilidae.